UAGGGAAUCUUCCACAAUGGACGCAAGUCUGAUGGAGCAACGCCGCGUGAGUGAAGAAGGCUUUCGGGUCGUAAAACUCUGUUAUUGAAGAAGAACGUGUGUGACAGUAACUGGUCAUGCAGUGACGGUAUUCAAUCAGAAAGUCACGGCUAACUACGUGCCAGCAGCCGCGGUAAUACGUAGGUGGCAAGCGUUGUCCGGAUUUAUUGGGCGUAAAGCGAGUGCAGGCGGUCUUUUAAGUCUGAUGUGAAAGCCUUCGGCUUAACCGAAGAAGGGCAU
RNAcentral lists this ribosomal RNA (279 nucleotides) under uncultured bacterium. RNAcentral describes it as "partial 16S ribosomal RNA". It matches the Rfam family "Bacterial small subunit ribosomal RNA", at positions 355 to 626 of the family's 1533-position model. The record is from RNAcentral.